CCAAAAGUAAUACUUCAUUUAAAUGAAUAAAAGACCUUGACCAAAAAAAAAAAAAUGAAUAAAAGACGGGUCCAAUUGGACAGCCAGCAUAAUUUAGAGGAUUCGGAAUCUCCCAACUUACAAAUGAAAACAACCUAAUAGAGAGAGAGAAGGAAUUAAUGUCUAAGAACUUCAAUAAAGAACUCUUCUGCAAUCUUUACCGCUUCUGUAUAUUUUCAUUCGGUCCCUUAUCCUUUCCAUAAAAAUAAGAGAGUUUCGAGUCUUCCAUAAAUAACAGGAGAGACUAACCAGUAGAGCCAUUUGUCUUCUUCCAGUCAAUCUGCCAAAGGUGUUGUUUUUCAUGACAUGCAUUCGCCAUUUCCUGAACUAUUAUUUCCUCCAAACUAGCUCCAGGGACUUGAACAUUCACCAACGACCAACCUGCUGUUGCAUUUGGGCAUAUCACAAGGCAGUGAAGGGUCAAUUCCACUGACUCAGAGCACUGCAGGCAAAAGGGGAAAAUUGGUGGGAUUUGACAGUUCAACAUUUCAUCAACCUUUUAUCAUCAAUUGCCACAAUAUAUUCUAAAAAAUAUCUGAUAAUAAUAAUAUAGAAAUUUAGUCUUAAAUCCCGUAUCCAAGGUUAUUACCAAAAUCAACAUCGGCAGUCUAAUUUCAAUUCUGUUUUCAAAAUACCAAAUGAAUUCAGAAUUGCACAAACUUUAUGUCUAGGCGACCGUUUCGAAUUAAGCUUUCCAAUAAACUAAAAAUCAUGAUUUUCUGAUCACUCUAGUCUCGGGAAUAGAAGGAGAACCGUGACUGCUCUGCAGCGUUUAAAAACCAGAAAAUAGCAGCAGCGUGUAAAAUUCAAAAUUCCAUAUAAAAUCCAAAUCAAGUCCAACCACCUUCAAAAUUAAUAUGGUUAAACUUAUCUUAUCCAAGUUUCUUUCCCAAUUGGUUUUAGGUCAAUACCAGUUUUAAUAAAGGAGUUACAUAACUUAGAAGUUAGGUAGAAGUAUGUCAAUAUCUGUUUUAAAAAUCAGCAAGCUUAGUAUCUUUCAACUUGCAUAACUUUUACUACAAAACUUCAAUUAAGCUAAAUUUUGGUCUGGAAACUCCUAAGUUAUCUAGCAACAAGUGUGCCUUGGUUGCAACUCAAUCAUUGUUCAAUUCUAAGAGUUACAAGCAUUGGAAGUUGAUGCGUAACUUGCUGAAAACGGAUUCUCUCCAGCUUUGAUCACCAAUUUUCAAAAAUUCACAACUCCCAAUCCUUAACUCCUAAAAUUCUGAAGUUUUAGAGCAAUAAACCAAGUUAAUCAAAUUUUAAAACAAAAUUGGUUUUGCUCCAGAACUCAGCUCGUAGAAGUUGCAGCAAAACAACCAAGUUGCUGCCCUGUUUGAAUUUUUCUGCAGCAGGACAGAUUCAGCGACCUGACUUUAAAAAUUCACCAUAAAUUGUAUAAUUAAUGAAAAGGCCUCAAGUUUUCCAGUCCAGUUCCAUAUAUUCCCAAGUUUAACCCAGACUUGGUCCUAUGCAAUUCCGAUCAUCACAGAAUUAGUUAUAGCUUUUCAAAGUUUAUAACUUCAUUUAAAAGUAAUGUAGAAAAUCAGAUUUCACAAUUUAACUUUGAAAAAUCAUAACUAAUUCUUCGGUUAAUACAAAACCUUGAAAAUUGAAUCUUAACAAUUAUACUUAUUAUAGUUUACUUAGCUUCAAUCACUACUGAGUUACUGAUUCACUUACAAAGUUGCCAUUUAAUUCAAAGAAAAUCCGAUUUUCAACAAAGCAGUUUAGCAUUUCAAAAUCUAAUCCUUCAAUACCUCUCAAAAUCGAUUCCAAAUCAACCACCAACCAAGUUCAUUGCCAUCACAAUAUAUCAAAUAAUCAACUCAACGACAACAAAUCCAAUAUAACCCAUCAAAAUUCCGAGUUCUCAACAAUCACUCAUCAACAAUUCAUAAUCCACACAUAAUCAAUCAAUUUCACAAAAUCCACAAAUUCAAUCAAUUCACAGCCACAAUUCAGCAUUCAUAUAACCAAUCAAUUACUCACAACAAUUAAACUUAUUUGCAAUUAUUCAAUAAACUUUGUGGGCAUUCUUAAAUUAAAACCAUUUAAAAUUAAACCCCCUACCUUGAUUAGCCGAGUUCAUAUAGAUUAACGUCACAACUCCUUUCCCUUUUAGUUUCAUGGCAGCAGCGGUGAUUCCAACGUGACCCAGACUGCGGCAGCAGCAACAAUUUUAAUUUUUCAAACAUAUCUUGGCAGAACUAAGACAGAGACAUAUGCUAUCAUAAUUAGAAGAAGAUCAUAGCAGAAAAAUAAAAUGGCAGCAGUGCAAGGGUGGAGGAAUUACAUAUUCAGAAAUGGCAGAAUUGGAAUUGAAACUGGAACAAGGGCAGUGCUGAUUCAAAGACAAGAACAGAGGACGCUGUGGUGGGUGAAUGGGACCGAAGCAGUGACUAAAGUAGUUCAGUAGCAGCGGCGUUCAUAACACUUCUCCAGCGGCAACCACGGUGAUUCCGGCGGCAGUGAUAGCUUGGGUUCGGCGGCGGUGGAUCCUUCAACAGCGACGGUCUUCUCGGGCACCUGGAAUGACGAUGGAAGCGGCCUCGCUCUCCUCCCCGGUUCGUGAUUCCAGCGACGAUGAGGGGCUUAGACAGAAUCAGGAUCAGCGACGUCAUCUCCUCCUCUCACGUGCAACGGCGACGAUGGAGCUUCUGCGAUGGUGAUCAGGCGCAACCCGCAAUGGCAACGGGACGGAACGGUGCCUCCUUCCCUUGGUUCUCGCAACGCUCGUUCUGGGUGUCUCUCUCUCACUCGCGUGCGGCACAACGGCGGCGGCGGUGAGGUCCCAGCCGCGUCAUUCCUUUCUCCUCCCUCUCUUCUCCUUCCUCUCCUCCUUCGUUUUCCCCUUUUCCCUUCUGUUUCCCUUUUUUUUUC
RNAcentral lists this long non-coding RNA (2922 nucleotides) under Arachis ipaensis. Its description in RNAcentral is "long non-coding RNA (AIPA_LNC001490)". Lineage: Eukaryota; Viridiplantae; Streptophyta; Magnoliopsida; Fabales; Fabaceae. The record is from RNAcentral.